GAUGAACGCUAGCGGCAGGCCUAAUACAUGCAAGUCGGACGGGAUUCAGGGAGUAGCUUGCUACAAACUGAUGAGAGUGGCGCACGGGUGCGUAACGCGUGAGCAACCUACCCAUAUCAGGGGGAUAGCCUCUCGAAAGAGAGAUUAACACCGCAUAACAUCAUUUACCGGCAUCGUUUUUGAUCAAAUAUUUAUAGGAUAUGGAUGGGCUCGCGUGACAUUAGCUAGUUGGAGAGGUAACGGCUCACCAAGGCUACGAUGUCUAGGGGCUCUGAGAGGAGAAUCCCCCACACUGGUACUGAGACACGGACCAGACUCCUACGGGAGGCAGCAGUAAGGAAUAUUGGUCAAUGGAGGCAACUCUGAACCAGCCAUGCCACGUGCAGGAUGACUGCCCUAUGGUUGUAAACUGCUUUUGUCAGGGAAUAAACCUUUCUACGUGUAGAAAGCUGAAUGUACCUGAAGAAUAAGGAUCGGCUAACUCCGUGCCAGCAGCCGCGGUAAUACGGAGGAUCCAAGCGUUAUCCGGAUUUAUUGGGUUUAAAGGGUGCGUAGGCGGUCCUAUAAGUCAGUGGUGAAAGACGGCAGCUUAACUGUCGCAGUGCCUUUGAUACUGUAGGACUUGAAUCUAUUUGAAGUGGGCGGAAUAAGACAAGUAGCGGUGAAAUGCAUAGAUAUGUCUUAGAACUCCGAUUGCGAAGGCAGCUCACUAAGUUAGUAUUGACGCUGAUGCACGAAAGCGUGGGGAUCAAACAGGAUUAGAUACCCUGGUAGUCCACGCCCUAAACGAUGAUGACUCGAUGUUUGCGAUACACAGUAAGCGUCCAAGCGAAAGCGUUAAGUUAUCCACCUGGGGGAGUACGGUCGCAAGAUUGAAACUCAAAGGGAAUUGACGGGGGGCCGCACAAGCGGAGGAGCAUGUGGUUUAAUUCGAUGAUACGCGAGGAACCUUACCCGGGCUUGAAAGUUAGUGAAUGAUCCAGAGACGGAUCAGUCUUCGGGACAC
Molecule: ribosomal RNA, 1006 nt
Filed under: uncultured Cytophagales bacterium
Lineage: Bacteria; Pseudomonadati; Bacteroidota; Sphingobacteriia; Sphingobacteriales
Description: bacterial SSU rRNA
Rfam family: Bacterial small subunit ribosomal RNA
Source: RNAcentral